This 301-nucleotide ribosomal RNA is filed under the name uncultured bacterium. Its description in RNAcentral is "partial 16S ribosomal RNA". It matches the Rfam family "Bacterial small subunit ribosomal RNA", at positions 509 to 807 of the family's 1533-position model. The record is from RNAcentral.
CAGUCGCCGCGGGAAUACGUAGGGCGCAAGCGUUGUCCGGAAUUAUUGGGCGUAAAGAGCUCGUAGGCGGUCUGUCGCGUCUGGUGUGAAAUCCCGAGGCUCAACCUCGGGCUUGCAUCGGGUACGGGCAGACUAGAGUGCGGUAGGGGAGACUGGAAUUCCUGGUGUAGCGGUGGAAUGCGCAGAUAUCAGGAGGAACACCGAUGGCGAAGGCAGGUCUCUGGGCCGCAACUGACGCUGAGGAGCGAAAGCAUGGGGAGCGAACAGGAUUAGAUACCCGUGUAGUCCCUGUCUCUUAUAC